This 84-nucleotide non-coding RNA is filed under the name Pseudomonas sp. NFACC16-2. The record is from RNAcentral. Lineage: Bacteria; Pseudomonadati; Pseudomonadota; Gammaproteobacteria; Pseudomonadales; Pseudomonadaceae. RNAcentral also lists the same sequence under 2 other names.
UACCGAGCGUCGAGAGGCGACGGGAUGAGCGUGCAGAAGUCAGCUGAAGCCGUAGUAAUCACCGAAACCGGGUCGAUGAAGGGU